AUUGAACGCUGGCGGCAGGCCUAACACAUGCAAGUCGAACGAGUGGCGGACGGGUGAGGAAUGUAUGGGAAACUGCCUGAUGGAGGGGGAUAACUACUGGAAACGGUAGCUAAUACCGCAUACCAUCGGAUGUGCCCAGAUGGGAUUAGCUAGUAGGUGGGGUAACGGCUCACCUAGGCGACGAUCCCUAGCGGGUCUGAGAGUAUGACCAGCCACACGGGAGCUUAGACACGGCCCAGACGUCUACGUGAGUCAGCAGUGGUGAAUAGUGCACAAUGGGCGCAAGCCUGAUGCAGCCAUGCCGCGUGUAUGAAGAAGGCCUUCGGGUUGUAAAGUACUUUGAGCGGUGAGGCGUUAUCCGCAGAAGAAGCACCGGCUAACUCCGUGCCAGCAGCCGCGGUAAUUC
RNAcentral lists this ribosomal RNA (406 nucleotides) under uncultured bacterium. Its description in RNAcentral is "partial 16S ribosomal RNA". It matches the Rfam family "Bacterial small subunit ribosomal RNA", at positions 30 to 526 of the family's 1533-position model. The record is from RNAcentral.